CCUGACUAGGUACCUCCCUGCCUUAGUAUAUAUAAGAAGGGAAAUAUCGAUCCAGUUCUAGACACAUAAGCAAGAAAAACUGAUAUUAGCUACAGAAGUAGAACACGAACUAGCUACUGGACAUCGAUCUGAUCUACAGAUAAAUGGCCUUUACAAAGAACGACCUUAGCUUUAGGGCUGCUGUAUUCGUAGCAGCUCUUCUGGUCGUGCUUAUUUUUUUCUUCUACCAAGGAGUAUCACUGUCAGAUGAAGUGAUGGCUGGAGAGCAAGAGGAAACAUGUGUGGCUGACUAUGAAUGCGGGCUGGCGUCAUGUGAGGUUAGAUGCCAGAACAUGAAGAUGGGCCCAAGUGCAGCCUACUGUGAUAGAAAAGCCGGAGUGUUGUAUUGUUGUUGUCUCCCACGACCACGUGUAGUGCAUCACAUUUAAGAAAAUGGUCUAGGGCAAGUCAUGUGUCAUGUGUCUUCUUCGUGCUGAUUGAUCAAUAAGAAUGCAUGAUAUGGUAAGA
Aegilops tauschii subsp. strangulata is the source of this 507-nucleotide long non-coding RNA. RefSeq lists it as uncharacterized. The record is from RefSeq and is a predicted model, not a curated record. NCBI's taxonomy places the organism in Eukaryota, Viridiplantae, Streptophyta, Magnoliopsida, Poales, Poaceae.